RNAcentral lists this transfer RNA (64 nucleotides) under Folsomia candida. Its description in RNAcentral is "tRNA-Asn". Lineage: Eukaryota; Metazoa; Arthropoda; Collembola; Entomobryomorpha; Isotomidae. The record is from RNAcentral.
UUAAAGGAAGCCAAAGAAGCGGCGAGCCACUGUUAAUGGCUAUUAGGCACUCAGCCUCUUUAAU